Molecule: long non-coding RNA, 2373 nt
Organism: Equus caballus (horse)
Lineage: Eukaryota; Metazoa; Chordata; Mammalia; Perissodactyla; Equidae
Source: Ensembl
GCUUGGCGGUUGGGAAUUGGCUGACUGGACAUGCUGCAUGUCUGAUCAAGCGGACCAUUUCAGAGAACACGAAAGUUCUGUUUGGAAAUGUCACAGCGAAAGGAAGAUGACUGGGAAGGAGUGGAUGACUAGGAAGUGCUUUCCUUAAGAAACAGGCAAGGCUCUCAAGACUGGACAUGGAAGCCAAGGAGCAGUGGAGCUUAAUUCCCUUCCUUCUUGGCUCUAGUGACGCUCUUCUCAUGAACUGAAUGAAGCUUAAGUGAUAGCGUGUUUUAGGAAUAUUCUCCUUAAACAUAUUUACCUCUUACGCUCUCUGAAUCCAUUCUCCGUCAUACUGUGCCUGCCCACGUGGAGCCUGCAGACACUGCACCAGCUGCCCCCACAGUCAGCCUCUAGUGAAAGCCCAGUCUCCCGUACCUCCCACCGCCCCAACCUCCAACGACUCCGCCUGACACGGCAUCACCGCCACCUCUCAGCCUUCCAGUGUGCUUGCUGUCUUCCCUAUUCUGAGACACGUGUAAAACCCGGAGAAAUGAAGUGACUCCCCAAGACACGAGAAGAUGGACCAAAACCAUAAAGUGAGAACAGAUGUUUUAAUGGGGAAGUGAAGAACAGGGUGAAGAAAAAGGGAAUGUUAUUGGUGACUACCACAAUCAAGAUAUAGAACACUUGCAACAUUGCAGAAGAUUCUGCGUGCUCCUCUCCAGCUAGUCCCUCUGCUGUCCUCUGACUCCAGGCAACCAGUGAUUUGUCUAUCGCUGUAGAUUCAAUUUGCCUUUCUUCGAGUUUCAAAUAAAUGAAUCAAAAGUGUCCAGCCAAUUUCCCAAGGGCGGGAAUGGCCUAUUUGACCCCAUCAAAAGGACCUGUGGCUAGCCAGUAUUUUCAUCUGGCUCAUGCUGUUUCUUCAAUUUAUCGAGGUCACUUUGAAUUCUGAUCUUUUCUUCUGAAGUGUUAGCAACCCCUUCUAACUUGGUGUCAUCUGAAAAAUACUACCUGUAUGAAAUGUGUGACUGAGUUAAGCUAGGAGUGUCAUGUUGGACAUUUUCUUAAACUAGAGCACAGCUGGAAAUUAUUACACAACCAAAGCAUACUCCAUUUCAGUUUUAUCAGACCAGCCUUGUCCACAUUUGACUGAUUUUUUUUCUCUUAUCAUCCAUUACCAAUCACUCAGCGUCUUCAGUAAAUAGAAAAUAAGAUGCAUGAUGGAGCCUCAUGACAAUUAGAGGACAAGAAAGGGAGAUUAGCCCUGAGCUAACAUCAUGCCCAUCUUCCUCUACUUUAUACGUGGGACGCCUACCACAGCGUGGCUUGAUAAGCGGUGAGGAAAGACCUGUAAUUGAGAGGGCUUUUUGAUACAACAACAUUUCAAGAAGGAGCUUCUGCUACUUUUCACACUGAUCUUCUGACUGAUGAACUUUGUGUGGCCCAAUAAAGCCAAACUACUUGCCGAGGAGCAUAAGGUUGAUUCAAAUCAGCAUCAGAAUCCACAAUCCUCUCUCACUCUGGGACCAUUCCUUAGUGGCUGAGCCCCCACAGGAACUUCUUGAAUAUAAGUAUUUUCAUCCUAUUAACUCGUUAGAAUAGCUUUAAAUGCUUCCAGAGAACUGCUAUGAUUCUAUUCUAUUCUGACCCAACCUAAUUACUGUUUUGUUCCUUUGCAGUUUGAAUUGACUUGUUUUUUGCUCAGCUCUCCUUCUUCUUUACUUACUACGUAAUGUUGAUGAUUAACCUGAAGAUGAUAGUAUGUUUGUAAAAUGUUGGGAAAGCUGGCAAGAUUUCAAAUAUUCAAGUAUCAUGAAAAAAAGGAGAGAGAGAAUUCUUUCAUUUAUACGUUCUUUUGAAAGCAGACACACACAUCAACUGCUGAAUGCCUGAGGCGUCCGCAACUCAAGAGUGGAAGAGAUUUCAAGAAGCAGACAAGUCUGUGUGCACCUGUGCCAGCCAGCAAUCAGUCUCCCGUCACCCUGCCCUCCCCUCUAUGAGUGUGUUUAUAGGCAUGUGUGUGCGUACACACACAAGACACACACACAGAGGCAAAUACACAUAUUAUACAGAGAAAAUGUUCCUAAAGGAAGAGUAGCCCUGAGCUAACAGCUGCCAAUCCUCCUCUUUUUGCUGAGGAAGACUGGCCCUGAGCUCACAUCUGUGCCCAUCUCCCUCUACUUUAUAUUUGGAACGCCUACCACAGCAUGGCUUGCCAAGUGGUGCCAUGUCAGCACCUGGGAUCCGAACCAGCGAACCCUGGGCCACCGAAGCGGAACGUACACACUUAACCAGUGCACCACUGGGUUGGCCCCAAUGCACACGUUUAAUGUGGUAUUACAUCUUGUUUUGUCAAAAAGCUGUAAUAAUCGAAGCUAAAUCAUCUUGAAA